RNAcentral lists this transfer RNA (56 nucleotides) under Toxocara canis (dog roundworm). RNAcentral's name for it is "tRNA-Asn". The record is from RNAcentral. Lineage: Eukaryota; Metazoa; Nematoda; Chromadorea; Rhabditida; Toxocaridae.
AGUUAGUUUAAUAAAAAAUGUUUGACUGUUAAUCAAGAGACAUAUCUUCUAGAGAA